CCUACGGGAGACAGCAGUGGGGGAUAUUGCACAAUGGGGGAAACCCUGAUGCAGCGAAGCCGCGUGUGGGAAGACGGUCUUCUGGAUUGUAAACUUCUAUCAAUAGGGAAGAAAGAAAUGACGGUACCUAAAUAAGAAGCCCCGGCUAACUACGUGCCAGCAGCCGCGUUAGUACGUAGGGGGCAAGCGUUAUCCGGAAUUACUGGGUGUAAAGGGAGAGUAGGCGGCAAGGUAAGCGAUAUGUGAAAGCCUUAAGCUUAACUAAAGGAUUGCAUAACGAACUAUCUAGCUAGAGUACAGGAGAGGAAAGCGGAAUUCCUAGUGUAGCGGUGAAAUGCGUAGAUAUUAGGAAGAACACCAGUGGCGAAGGCGGCUUUCUGGACUGAAACUGACGCUGAGGCUCGAAAGCGUGGGGAGCGAACAGGAUUAGAUACCCUUGUAGUC
RNAcentral lists this ribosomal RNA (444 nucleotides) under uncultured bacterium. RNAcentral describes it as "partial 16S ribosomal RNA". It matches the Rfam family "Bacterial small subunit ribosomal RNA", at positions 338 to 795 of the family's 1533-position model. The record is from RNAcentral.